RNAcentral lists this ribosomal RNA (253 nucleotides) under uncultured bacterium. Its description in RNAcentral is "partial 16S ribosomal RNA". It matches the Rfam family "Bacterial small subunit ribosomal RNA", at positions 524 to 776 of the family's 1533-position model. The record is from RNAcentral.
UACAGAGGGAGCAAGCGUUAUUCGGAAUUAUUGGGCGUAAAGGGCGCGUAGGCGGCUUGGCAAGUGGAUGGUGAAAUCCCUCGGCUUAACCGAGGAACUGCCGUCCAAACUGCUUCGCUUGAGACCGGGAGAGGUGAGUGGAAUUCCCAGUGUAGCGGUGAAAUGCGUAGAUAUUGGGAGGAACACCAGUGGCGAAGGCGGCUCACUGGACCGGUACUGACGCUGAUGCGCGAAAGCGUAGGGAGCAAACGGG